This 467-nucleotide ribosomal RNA is filed under the name uncultured bacterium. RNAcentral describes it as "partial 16S ribosomal RNA". It matches the Rfam family "Bacterial small subunit ribosomal RNA", at positions 29 to 507 of the family's 1533-position model. The record is from RNAcentral.
ACGAACGCUGGCGGCGUGCUUAACACAUGCAAGUCGAACGGAAAGGCCCUGCUUUUGUGGGGUGCUCGAGUGGCGAACGGGUGAGUAACACGUGAGUAACCUGCCCUUGACUUUGGGAUAACUUCAUGAAACUGGGGCUAAUACCGGAUAGGAGCUCCUGCUGCAUGGUGGGGGUUGGAAAGUUUCGGCGGUUGGGGAUGGACUCGCGGCUUAUCAGCUUGUUGGUGGGGUAGUGGCUUACCAAGGCUUUGACGGGUAGCCGGCCUGAGAGGGCGACCGGCCACAUUGGGACUGAGAUACGGCCCAGACUCCUACGGGAGGCAGCAGUGGGGAAUAUUGCACAAUGGGCGGAAGCCUGAUGCAGCAACGCCGCGUGCGGGAUGACGGCCUUCGGGUUGUAAACCGCUUUCGCCUGUGACGAAGCGUGAGUGGCGGUAAUGGGUAAAGAAGCACCGGCUAACUACGUG